GGUGAUUUUCGCUAACUUCUGAGUAAUUUAUUUUGCUCAUUUAAGACCACAGUAAUGCUAAUAUAAGCUGCAUUACAAUGUAUCAUAAUAUUUGUUUACAUUUACAUAGAAGCCAUGUGUUGUUGGUCUGAAAUCAUGGUAUUUGAUCUGCCAUUGUCUGUUAGGUUGUUAAUCUUGCACAUCAGAACAAUGCAAAAACUUGAAUUUUCCAACUUCAUGUCCUGUUGCCAUGGUAAC
Molecule: long non-coding RNA, 237 nt
Filed under: Mytilus galloprovincialis (Mediterranean mussel)
Lineage: Eukaryota; Metazoa; Mollusca; Bivalvia; Mytilida; Mytilidae
Source: RNAcentral